Lethenteron reissneri (Far Eastern brook lamprey) is the source of this 1337-nucleotide RNA transcript. It is a transcript of the gene named general transcription factor IIH subunit 2-like, with no coding region annotated. Lineage: Eukaryota; Metazoa; Chordata; Hyperoartia; Petromyzontiformes; Petromyzontidae. The record is from RefSeq and is a predicted model, not a curated record.
CUGUGUUAUGAAAUCAAGUACAAGUGUCCCCCUCUUCCGACACCCACGGCAAACAAAGCGAGACGCGAGCCACACCAACGAUCAACAACAACAACAGCAGCAGCAACAACAACAACAACACAGAGCUAAAUGAUGGAAGAGGAGCCGGAACGGGCCAAACGCUGGGAGGGAGAUUAUGAAAGAACUUGGGAGGUGCUCAAAGAGGAUGAGUCGGGGUCCCUCAAGGCGAGCGUGGACGAUCUCAUCUUCCAAGCCAAGCGCCGCAAAGUCUCUGAAUUUCAUGGACAAGUGCGGCUUGGGAUGAUGCGGCAUCUGUUCGUAGUGGUGGAUAUGUCGCGGGGCAUGGAAGACCAAGACCUGAAGCCCAAUCGUCUCACCUGUUCUCUCAAGCUGCUGGAGCACUUUGUGGAGGAGUACUUCUAUCAGAAUCCCAUCAGCCAGGUCGGAUUGAUUACGACAAAAAAUAAAAGGGCGGAGAAGUUGACCGAACUUGGAGGUACACCCAAGAAGCACAUUACGGCUCUUAAGAAAGCCACCCAGUCAACAUGCCUGGGAGAACCGUCUCUCUACAACUCGCUGCAGCUGGCUAUGGAGACCCUGAAACAUAUGCCCAGCCACACGAGUCGCGAAAUCCUGGUGGUGUUCGGCAGCCUCACCACAUGCGAUCCAGCCAACAUCUACGACCUCAUUCAGACCUUAAAGGCGGGGAAGGUGCGUGUGUCCAUCAUCGGACUCUCUGCGGAAGUGCACGUCUGCACGGCUCUUACGAAAGAGACCGGAGGGUCGUACCACGUCAUUUUGGACGAGUCCCACUUCAAGGAGCUGCUGCUAUACCACGUGACGCCCCCUCCUGUCAGCGCCAACAUGGACUCUUCCUUAAUCCGCAUGGGCUUCCCCCAGCACACGUUGGGCUCGGCGACGGAGAGCGACGCCAAGCCCUCCUUCAGCAUGGCGCAGCUGGAGAGUCAGAAGGAGAAGAAGCCAGGUGCUGUCCGUAGGAGGCUUCUUCUGCCCUCAGUGCCGGGCCAAGUACUGCGAGCUGCCCGUGGAGUGCAAAGUGUGCGGCCUCACACUGGUGUCGGCGCCGCACCUGGCGCGCUCCUACCACCACCUGUUCCCGCUCGACGCCUUCCAGGAGCAGCCGCUUGACAAGUUUACGGGACAGCGGGUGUGCGAAGGAUGUCAAGUACAGCUGAAAGAAAACAGUGUGUUCAUGUGCUCUUUGUGCGCGAGACCGUUCUGCCUCGACUGCGAUCUCUUCAUUCACGAGACCCUGCACUGCUGCCCCGGCUGCGUGCACUCCGACAAGCAGAACACCUAAGAGGGCCGCGACGGAC